CCUCCAGGGACAAUGACUCCUCCACCUCCUUGGGCAGCCCAUUCCAGUCCCUCACCACUCUUUCAGAGAAGAAAUUUGUCCUAAUAUCCUACCUGGAACUCCAGUGGUGCAACUUGAGGCCAUUACCUCUCCUCCUAUCGGUAGAAGAAGGGUCUGACACGCAGCCAAGCAAAAAUGUAGUUAUGCAAAACAGGCACUGAGCUACUGCCAUGCUUAUCUAUGCUACCUUAGGGACUGGGAAGUGCUUACUUUGUCUACAUUUAAAUGCAACUGCUGAACAUCUACAACACCUACAAAAGGGUAUUACCCUCCACAUACAUUCCCAUUACAUAAUAUCCAUCCAAAGGUCCACAUAAGUGAGCCCCAUAUAUGAUGGAAGCCAACAGCAAUACUCAUGCAGCCCCAUCAGCCUGUGGUACGGGCACUUCCUGAUCCAGUGUCAGUGUCUGUCAAUACAAGAGCCUUCACAGAUUCCUCUUCUCUGAAUGUCUCCAAGUCCUUUAUGAAUACAUGCAAAAUUUUACUGUCUUUUAGCAAACUCUAAAGCUCCACAAUUAAUUGUGUGCAGACAUACUGCUUUCUGUUCAUUUUGAACUUCCUGAUUUUAUUUACUAGGUCUUAAUUUGGAAGAUACAUGACAUCUGUUUCUGUUCACCCUUUCCAUGUCACUAGCUCUGUAUUAUAUUCCCUUCUCUGUAAGAGAGGCAAUUUAUUUGAGUCUUAAUCUACUUAUGCUCCUCCACAUGGAAGCCAUUCCCUACUUUGCCUCACUGUGCCUUUUUUCUCUGCAUAUUCUUUCUCUGUAGCUUGUAUCAUCCUCUGACUCCGCAGCGUCAAACCAGCUGAGUACCACAUUUGAGCAGGAUGCAAACUUAAUCCUCUUAAGCUCAUAGUGAGCAUCUUUUGUACCAUUUUAUUCAGCUUAUAGCUCAUGGGCAAGUAAGGUUCAGGACUGUAUGCAAUAGUUUACCCUCUACCAUAAGUGGUAGAAGGUAAGUCAGAUGAAUGCUGAGGCUAUUAGACUGCUUGGCUUCUUGUUCUUCCAGGGGGUCUGUUGGGCUCUGAGAAAGUAUGGGGUAACUUGUUUUUUAUUAUUAUUAUUGUUUUCUUAUUUGUUUGUUUUUGCUUUGUUUUGUUUCCUUUUCUUUACCUCCUUCCCUGUUUUAUCUGACAUAUUGUAUACAGACAGCCAUGAAUUUCUUAAGGCUGGGUAAGUCACUAUCCCUGGAGGUGUUCAAGAACUGUGGAGAUGUGGUGCUGCGGGACGUGGUUAGUGGGCAUGGUGGAGAUGGGCUGAUGGUUAAACUAGAUGAUCUCAGUGGUCUUUUCCAACCUUAAUCAUUCUACGAUUCCAUGCUUCCCAGCUGCUCCAGAACUGAAGUCCCAUCACCCAUCCAGAAUCCCACAGUAUCCUCAGUUGUCUCCGUGCCAUGCUAUGGACAUACUCUAUGAAGCCCUGUGUGGACGCCACCUGCCAAGGACGGUCUUUUGCAGAAAUAAACAGCAAAAACAUAGACUGUAUGAGCCUGGGGAAAAGCCUACGUGGUGGAAAAAAAGGACAUGAAAAAUAAAUGAAGGCCUGCUGCCCCCUGUCACGGACGCGGAUCUAGAGAGAAGUCCGUGACAAGUCUAUUGGGUUGGCUGCUGGGGACAGGAGCCGUCACGUGGCUGUGGUACAUGGCUGCUCCUGCGGUGUCUUCAGGGCUGGUUCUGGG
Gallus gallus (chicken) is the source of this 1715-nucleotide long non-coding RNA. RefSeq lists it as uncharacterized. NCBI's taxonomy places the organism in Eukaryota, Metazoa, Chordata, Aves, Galliformes, Phasianidae. The transcript is spliced from 3 exons. The record is from RefSeq and is a predicted model, not a curated record.